AACGAACGCUGGCGGCAUGCCUAACACAUGCAAGUCGAACGAGACCUUCGGGUCUAGUGGCGCACGGGUGCGUAACGCGUGGGAACCUGCCCUUAGGUUCGGAAUAACUCCCCGAAAGGGGUGCUAAUACCGGAUAAUGUCUUCGGACCAAAGAUUUAUCGCCUUUGGAUGGGCCCGCGUUGGAUUCGCUAGUUGGUAGGGUAAAAGCCUACCAAGGCGACGAUCCAUAGCUGGUCUGAGAGGAUGAUCAGCCACACUGGGACUGAGACACGGCCCAGACUCCGACGGGAGGGAGCAGUGGGGAAUAUUGUACGAUGGGCGAAAGCCUGAUCCAGCAAUGCCGCGGGAGUGAUGAAGGCCUUAGGGUAGUAAAGCUCUUUGACCCGGGAUGAUAAUGACAGUACCGGGUGAAUAAGCUCCGGCUAACUCCGUG
Molecule: ribosomal RNA, 433 nt
Filed under: uncultured bacterium
Lineage: Bacteria
Description: partial 16S ribosomal RNA
Rfam family: Bacterial small subunit ribosomal RNA
Source: RNAcentral